UACGUAGGGGGCUAGCGUUGUCCGGAUUUAUUGGGCGUAAAGAGCGUGUAGGCGGCCAGGUAGGUCUGCUGUGAAAACUCGAGGCUCAACCUCGAGACGUCGGCGGAAACCAUCUGGCUAGAGUCCGGAAGAGGAGAGUGGAAUUCCUGGUGUAGCGGUGAAAUGCGCAGAUAUCAGGAAAAACACCCGUGGCGAAGGCGGCUCUCUGGGACGGUACUGACGCUGAGACGCGAAAGCGUGGGGAGCGAACAGG
RNAcentral lists this ribosomal RNA (253 nucleotides) under uncultured bacterium. Its description in RNAcentral is "partial 16S ribosomal RNA". It matches the Rfam family "Bacterial small subunit ribosomal RNA", at positions 524 to 776 of the family's 1533-position model. The record is from RNAcentral.